This is a non-coding RNA of Monodelphis domestica (gray short-tailed opossum), 2537 nucleotides long. Lineage: Eukaryota; Metazoa; Chordata; Mammalia; Didelphimorphia; Didelphidae. The record is from RefSeq and is a predicted model, not a curated record.
AUUAGGUCCACUGGGGGUUCCUUUUCUCUGGAGAGUUUUCAAAUCCCAACUCCUUGACGCCCACUUUGGCUGAAGGUGGUCAUCUGGCACCAGGGUAGAGAAGGAGGAAAUUUCAUCCACACAUCUCUUUGAACAAUAGCCAGAGUAAAGGUCAGUAUGUGUAAUAAUGGUAUCUAAAAUGCUUUGGGUGAGGACUAGACCUGUGAUUUCCCUGGUAUAGGAUACUUCUUGGUGAGGAAAACUCCCUCUGCAUAACAGAGAUAGUCACUUUCUUGAAAACUUGGUCUUAGAGAAUUGCUCAGAGCACUUAGGACUUAAAUGCUUUGAGAAGGCUCACCAAGUCUUGAACUCAGAUCUUCCAGUGCUAGCACUUCCAAUCCUUUUUACUACUCUUAGGGAAAGUCAACUGCCCUUCUUCAAUCUCUAAACAGAAAGUCUUUUCUGCUCCCUGAAGUCAGAUGAAGAUUUGACUUCUGUACUUUCCCUUAUACUGAUUCAGAUCCUUUGUUGCCCUCCACAUGGAAUUCUUUCCUCCCUUUUUAAUGCUCUAAUACCUCUUUCUCAAUGAGUGACACUUUAAAAUCAUACCAACCUUGGCUAUGUCAUCAUUUAGAGAGUGCUGGACAUAGAGAGAGGUAGAAUUGGUCUAGAAUAAGUGUACUAAUUCGCCCAGUGGUUGGCCAGGUAUUCAGCCCUACCUCAAUGCUAUGCAUACAGUAGGUGCCUUAUAAAUGCUUGUUGAAUUGAAUUGAGACCUCAUUGGUGUGGAUGCAGAUCCCAACCCAUUCUUUAUGAAAUAUACUUCUGAAAAUCCUCCAAAGGGGAUUGGGUUCCAUCCUCUAGAUGUCUUGACAUUGUGCAAGUAGCUACAGAACAUGACAGAUGCCCAUGAGUCAUCCCUCACUCUCACUACAUUACUGACUUACUUUUUUCAGCCAUAACAUCUUUGAUAUCUUCUUUUGAUUAAAAUUUGAAUAAAAAUUUCUUUUACUGUCACAUCAGCUUCAUUUCCUUACCUCUCCUACCCAAUGAGUCAUCCUUUAUAACAAAUAAUAAAAAAGAAAAGAAAAACAAAAUAGUUCAACAAAAUCAACCAACAUAUCUACUGAGUCUGAUAUGAUCUGCAGUAUUCUCUGAUUUUAAUACUCUCAGAUCUCUGCAAAGAAGCAAGGGAAGUCCAUUUUCUUAUCUUUUCUUCGGGGUCAGGUUGUUGUUGAAUAGUUUUCUGGUAUGAGUUGGUCUACAUAUGACUUCUCAGGUCCCUUUCUACUGUAUAUCCUUUGACAUCCUAUGACUCCAGUUUUCUGCCUGUGUUGCAAUCACAGUCCCUUGUGAAGCCCUGUCCUACUGUGGGAAGUAGUGCAGAUGCAUUUCAUCAUAAUCCCCAGCUGAAAGUGACCUCAGAGACCAUCCAGUUUAACCUCAUUUUACAGAUGAAGAAACUAGGGUCCAAUAAAAUCAGAUGGCAUGGCUAGGAACACACAGAAAUUUGGCCCUCCUGUAAUCCCAGAGGCAUUUUUUUUCACCCUGGUUUGACGAUCCCUGAAUGUUUGUCAUUAUCACCUGACAAAUGGCAUCCCCACUGUGCUGUAAGUUUGGAUCAGCAUCUCACAUAAACUUCUCAGGCAGUCACCAACUCUUCUGAUGUGGCGGUGAGCUCCAGGCUAAGGACUGGACGCCAGAUCCAGCAGACAACAUGUGCUACGUCAAAUGUGCCGAGUUCAUCGGGACUAUUCUAAUGUCCCUCUCCUUAACAUGUAUCACCAUCAACAUUCUCUUGUUUUUCCCCAAUUGGGAGCUAAAGUAUUUCAAUGAAGGCCAGCUGAGCGUCUACGUCAAUUGCUUACCGGGAAUUGUAGGAGGGGGGCUGAUGGUAUUCUUACCUUCCCUUUACUUUGUUGCAUUGGAUGGGAAAGACUGUUGUGGAUGCCUCGGCCAUGAGAAUUGUGGGAAAAGAUGUGUGAUGCUCACCACAAUGGUGCCAUCUGCUGUUGGACUUAUGGGAGCUUGUUACUGUAUCAUUAUGUCGGUUCUUAGCAUACUGAAAGGUCCAAGAUGUCUUGAUGUGAGUGGCGAAUGGAACUACCCCUUUGCCACCGUCAGAAAAUGAGGAAACUGAGGCCCAGUGGAAUUGACUUGUCCAAAGUGUCACACAAGUAAAAUGUAUCUGAGCUGAUUAAAUCAAAACCAGGUCCUUCCUCAGUCUCUUAAGUACACCACUCUUGGAAUGCUGGACUUUAGGGGUAAUAGAUUCAGCUUUUAAAGUCCAUCACAGGUCUUAAGUUACAUUACUAACCACAGACUAUGGGGCAUGUGCGUCAAACCCCCACAUAUUACACAAUUUCACCUGCUCAUGUUUUUCCUUCUCGUGGGCUUUGGAGUACUGGAAGUCGCCUUUCUUAUCCUUCAAGUAGUAAAUGGUGCAGUUGGAGGCCUAUGUGGUUAUUUCUGCACCACGGUAAAGAAAUCUAGAAGAACAAACCAUUAUGAUCUUCCUGAAUUUCAUUAAAGAAGAUACAAUUCAGUAUCAGGAGAAA